Molecule: long non-coding RNA, 366 nt
Organism: Xenopus tropicalis (tropical clawed frog)
Lineage: Eukaryota; Metazoa; Chordata; Amphibia; Anura; Pipidae
Exons: 2
Source: RefSeq, a predicted model, not a curated record
AAGGGGGCGUCUAUUGACUGACUAUCUUCUAAAGUUGCUGCCUAUUGAGAUGAAACUACCUCUGAGAACGCAUUUCAGGGUCUCCCAGAUUGUUCCAGGGGAGAUCGAACAAGAGCUGUUAUCUUGUAGGAUCUGUAUGAUGUUUGAUUUAAUCUGUUCUCUGACUUGUUCUUUGUGUAGCAAUAGAUCAUUCAUUCUCCAUGUGAAAUCAGGCUUAGUGGUCUUUGGUAUUACAAACUUAGCAAAAAUAGGGGAGUGAUCAGAUAGUGUGCUAUUACCUAUUUUUGCCUGUGUGAACAGGUGUAACCAGUUUUGUGAAACCAUAAUGUAGUCUAUUCUUGAAUAAACCAUGUGGGUUUUUGAAAA